This 276-nucleotide long non-coding RNA is filed under the name Oryza sativa tropical japonica subgroup. RNAcentral describes it as "lncRNA OsAzu_07g0023820". The record is from RNAcentral. Lineage: Eukaryota; Viridiplantae; Streptophyta; Magnoliopsida; Poales; Poaceae.
CGGCGGGCGGCGGCUACCUACUUGGUGGCCAACCGGCGAGGUGCUUCGGAGGACACUCCAUCGGCAGCAACGGCGAGGGUUUCGGAGGACACCCGGCCACAUCGCCACCUUCGUCCAGCUGGGUUUCUCUCCCUCGUGAGCACAGUCAACCAUUCACUGGACACGGUGGCUCAGACGCUCAGUGCAUCCGGCCCGCGGCUACGGUGGGUCGGCCAUGAACCUAACGGGCCGGCUCCACUUCCACCAGAGACGGGGCGAGCUCAGGCACCAAGAUAG